RNAcentral lists this transfer RNA (87 nucleotides) under Fannyhessea vaginae PB189-T1-4. RNAcentral describes it as "Atopobium vaginae PB189-T1-4 tRNA-Leu". It matches the Rfam family "tRNA". From Rfam's summary of the family: Transfer RNA (tRNA) molecules are approximately 80 nucleotides in length. Their secondary structure includes four short double-helical elements and three loops (D, anti-codon, and T loops). Lineage: Bacteria; Bacillati; Actinomycetota; Coriobacteriia; Coriobacteriales; Atopobiaceae. The record is from RNAcentral.
GCGAGCGUGGCGGAAUAGGCAGACGCGCCAGACUUAGGAUCUGGUGGGAGAAAUCUCGUGAAGGUUCAAGUCCUUUCGCUCGCACCA